UUUUCACUGUUUCGACGUCUU
RNAcentral lists this non-coding RNA (21 nucleotides) under Caenorhabditis elegans. The record is from RNAcentral. Lineage: Eukaryota; Metazoa; Nematoda; Chromadorea; Rhabditida; Rhabditidae.